Molecule: ribosomal RNA, 897 nt
Filed under: uncultured bacterium
Lineage: Bacteria
Description: bacterial SSU rRNA
Rfam family: Bacterial small subunit ribosomal RNA
Source: RNAcentral
AGAGUUUGAUCCUGGCUCAGAACGAACGCUGGCGGCGUGCUUAACACAUGCAAGUCGAACGGGUUUAUUAGAUGUAGCAAUACAUUUAAUAGAUUAGUGGCGCACGGGUGAGUAACACGUAGGUAACCUACCCUUCAGUGGGGGACAACAGAGGGAAACUUCUGCUAAUACCGCAUAAGACCACGAUCUGGGAUGAUAGUGGGAAAAGGAUUUAUUCGCUGAGGGAUGGGCCUGCGGCCUAUCAGGUAGUUGGUGAGGUAAUGGCUCACCAAGCCUGCGACGGGUAGCCGGACUGAGAGGUCGAUCGGCCACACUGGAACUGAGACACGGUCCAGACUCCUACGGGAGGCAGCAGUGGGGAAUAUUGCACAAUGGGGGAAACCCUGAUGCAGCGACGCCGCGUGGAGGAUGACGGCCUUCGGGUUGUAAACUCCUUUUGCAGGGGACAAUGGUGAUGGUACCCUGCGAAUAAGCCACGGCUAACUCUGUGCCAGCAGCCGCGGUAAGACAGAGGUGGCGAGCGUUGUUCGGAAUUACUGGGCUUAAAGGGCGCGUAGGCGGUGGUUUAAGUCUAGGGUGGAAUGCUACAGCUCAACUGUAGAGCUGCCUUGGAAACUGGAUUACUUGAGUCGGUGAGGGGAAGGUGGAAUUCCAGGUGUAGCGGUGAAAUGCGUAGAUAUCUGGAGGAAGGUCUGUGGCGAAGGCGACCUUCUGGCACUUGACUGACGCUGAGGCGCGAAAGCGUGGGUAGCAAACAGGAUUAGAUACCCUGGUAGUCCACGCCCUAAACGGUGGGUAUUAGGUGUGGGGCCUUCAUGGGUUCCGUGCCGUAGCGAAAGCAUUAAAUACCCCGCCUGGGGAGUACGGCCGCAAGGUUAAACUCAAAGGAAUUGACGG